AUGUCUAUCAGGUAAACAGUAAUGCCUCAGUCAGGUAAACAGUAAUGCCUCUGUCAGGUAAACAGUUUUGCCUCUAUCAGGUAAACAGUAAUGUCUCUAUCAGGUAAACAGUAAUGCCUCUAUCAGGUAAACAGGAAUGUCUCAGUCAGG
Molecule: long non-coding RNA, 150 nt
Organism: Dreissena polymorpha
Lineage: Eukaryota; Metazoa; Mollusca; Bivalvia; Myida; Dreissenidae
Exons: 3
Source: RefSeq, a predicted model, not a curated record